Molecule: ribosomal RNA, 169 nt
Filed under: uncultured Sphingomonas sp.
Lineage: Bacteria; Pseudomonadati; Pseudomonadota; Alphaproteobacteria; Sphingomonadales; Sphingomonadaceae
Description: partial 16S ribosomal RNA
Rfam family: Bacterial small subunit ribosomal RNA
Source: RNAcentral
CCUACGGGAGGCAGCAGUGGGGAAUAUUGGACAAUGGGCGCAAGCCUGAUCCAGCAAUGCCGCGUGAGUGAUGAAGGCCUUAGGGUUGUAAAGCUCUUUUACCCGGGAUGAUAAUGACAGUACCGGGAGAAUAAGCUCUGGCUAACUCCGUGCCAGCAGCCGCGGUAAU